AAGCGCAUGUAAAUGUACCACAAUACAGCCACUAUUGUCUUCUUAUUAAAGCGCUCAAUCCUCGCCUCCGCUGAUGUCAUCUUCACGAACGACGGCAUAUAUCUGCAUAUCAAAGGAUCACAACAAAUCAUUGUUUAGGCAGGAAAACAUAGUUGUGAGCAUGUUACGUACAAUGACGGCUGUAGGUGUAACACCGGCGUAACGUGCCACGAAAUAAGGCAAUAAAAAGCAUUUAGUUAAUAGCCAUGGUCUUGCAACCAGAGGCUUCAUACCUCCGAACGGCCGCUUCGUGGCCUGCCACGUCCCGUUUGAGCCCGACUCUUGUUCAUAUCCUUACCACCAUCCUUGCGCUUGUCCUAUUCCUUGCGAUUCUCCUGCUCGUGUCCUUGGAAUGUAAAAUGACAAGGCAUAAUGUCAGUGUAUGCACCUGCAUGAUGGCCACUUACUGCCGGUGGCGUCUAGUCCCCCUUUUCCUGCUUUCCCCUGCUUGCCUGCGAAUGAAUGCUGCGCCAUUAUAAAGACAGAUUCUUGUUAAGCAGCCCCUCGCACAAAUGUGUCCGGUCGUACUUCGCGAAUAAAAGGUCCGUACAUCACGCCCCAAAAGCCAGGAGCGAAUUUCACCGCGCGGGUGCGCGCGUGCGAUUCGCAAAAUGCGCGUGUACAAGUGUAUAUAAAUUUUCUUAGAAGAAAGGCCN
RNAcentral lists this long non-coding RNA (695 nucleotides) under Volvox carteri. Its description in RNAcentral is "long non-coding RNA (VCAR_LNC001427)". The record is from RNAcentral. Lineage: Eukaryota; Viridiplantae; Chlorophyta; Chlorophyceae; Chlamydomonadales; Volvocaceae.